RNAcentral lists this transfer RNA (71 nucleotides) under Bokermannohyla alvarengai (Santa Barbara treefrog). RNAcentral describes it as "tRNA-Leu". The record is from RNAcentral. Lineage: Eukaryota; Metazoa; Chordata; Amphibia; Anura; Hylidae.
GCUUUUAAUGGAUAACAGUUUUCCUUUGGUCUUAGGCUCCAACCUCCUUGGUGCAAAUCCAAGUAAAAGCU